RNAcentral lists this ribosomal RNA (492 nucleotides) under uncultured bacterium. RNAcentral describes it as "partial 16S ribosomal RNA". It matches the Rfam family "Bacterial small subunit ribosomal RNA", at positions 29 to 507 of the family's 1533-position model. The record is from RNAcentral.
AUUGAACGCUGGCGGCAUGCUUUACACAUGCAAGUCGAACGGUAACAGGCCUUCGGGUGCUGACGAGUGGCGAACGGGUGAGUAAUGCAUCGGAACGUGCCCAGAGGUGGGGGAUAACGCAGCGAAAGCUGUGCUAAUACCGCAUGUGAUCUGAGGAUGAAAGCGGGGGACCAGGCAGCAAUGUUUGGCCUCGCGCCUUUGGAGCGGCCGAUGUCAGAUUAGGUAGUUGGUGGGGUAAAGGCCUACCAAGCCGACGAUCUGUAGCUGGUCUGAGAGGACGACCGGCAACACUGGGACGGAGACACGGCCCAGACGCCUACGGGAGGCCGCAGUGGGGAAUUUGGGGCAAUGGGCGCAAGCCUGAUCCAGCAAUGCCGCGUGCGGGAAGAAGGCCUUCGGGUUGUAAACCGCUUUUGUACGGAACGAAAAGGCUCUGGCUAAUACCUGGGGCUGAUGACGGUACCGGAAGAAUAAGCACCGGCUAACUACGUG